GAUGGAUCAGUUUACAACGCCUGGACAAGCCAUGAUGUCAAAGACGAGUGAACAAUUCAGGACAUCGUAAGUAAUGAUUUAAAUGGACAUUUAUGGUGGUUGUAUGCGCACAUAACGUGUCAUAUAACCUCUCCACUAAAUUUACAUUUGCAAUUAUUCUGACCAUGACAAUUUGACUACAACUAAUGAAAAAAUUUGCAAUGUGCCUGGUUAAUAUUUCUCCAAUAUGAUGACUUCUUAAUUUGUAAGCAUGUAACUGAUGUGAUCUCUCCUCUCCUCAAUGUGUCAACAAAUAUACCGUACAUCUUAUGAUUACUCCAGCUGAGGACUGACCAGCACAUUAUGACUCCCCCUUUGGUGAGAUGAGACCCUGGAGGAUUGAUGGAACUAUAAAAAAAUGUUAUGUUUCAAUUUCAAUUUAUACUUAACAAUUUUCAUUCAUACAUUAUACUAUUUGUGUAUCACACAAUGUGUCUCUCCUCAGUUCAGCCCAUGACAAC
Molecule: non-coding RNA, 500 nt
Organism: Xyrichtys novacula (pearly razorfish)
Lineage: Eukaryota; Metazoa; Chordata; Actinopteri; Labriformes; Labridae
Source: the annotation of a GenBank genome assembly